This 2282-nucleotide long non-coding RNA is filed under the name Marmota monax (woodchuck). The record is from RNAcentral. Lineage: Eukaryota; Metazoa; Chordata; Mammalia; Rodentia; Sciuridae.
AGGAGGGGAGGGUGGGCAGUCACGGAGCUGGGGAGAAACCAGAGCACAGGCAUGCCCCCUGCUGGCCCGAGGGGAGGAAGGGUAUCAGCCUGCUUUCUGCUGCUGUAACCACAGACUGGGUAAGAAGGGAACAGACAUUUAUUUGGCUUGCGGUUCUGGAUGCUGGGAAUCCAAGAGCAUGGCAGGGGCCUCUGGAGAGGAUCUCAUCAGGUGACAGAGGGUGGAAGCAAGUACAUGACCAAAGAAGGACUCCCACAGUAACUAACCCACUCCCACAGUAACUAACCCACUCCCCUCAAUCCAUCUGUUAUGGGCCAGGCUGUAUGGGCAAUGACACAAACAGACUCCAUUUUACCCCAAGACUCCAUAUUAUGUAAGAAAUGCUUCUCCCAUGGGAGAGCCCCACCUCACCUCUGUACUCAUUAAUAAUUACCCAGCACAGCAUACUUGGCAACACAAAACAGCAAUUCUUACACAAUGUAAAAUUGUUCUCUUUGGUUUCCAUUUUUCUUGGGCAAUGUACCUUGUCAAAGAUGGAUUGUCUAGAUGUUAGUAAUCAUUCUCUAACUUGUACUGAGCUAGGGUCAUUUUGACCCACUUCCCUUCUGCUUGCUUGCUGCUAUGCCAACCUGGAGAGUCCUGUGGGAAAUACCAAUGUACCCAUUGCAUUGUCUUGCUAACUGCCCAAUUCAGCUUCUGUACCAGCUUGCUUGCAGCUACAUCAACCCAGAUGUGGUUUUGCAUUUAAAUAUCUAAAAUACUCAGGCUCGGGGCUGUUCCUUGCAGAGACAGUUAUGGGUCCUGUAGACAGCAGUUGCAGGCCAGCCGGCUAAAGAUUCUUCAAUUUGGACAAAACUGGGACUUGGUAUGUUUUCUGAGUGGCCUGCCCCACACAACACAUCCAUGAAAUGGAGUCUCACAACCCACUCACCUCCUGAAGGUCUCGCCUCGCUGUCUCAAUGACAAUUAAAUUUCAAUGUGAGUUUGGGAUGAGACAUUCCAACCAUCACAUUUCAUCUCUGGGCCCCCCAAAUUCAUGUCCUUCUCACAUAAAACAUGCUCAUUGUCUCCCAAUAGUCCCCAAAGUCUUGUUUCAGCAUCAACCCACAAAUCAGUGGUCUAAUGUGAAUCAGAAACUGGUGAGAUUCAUCCUGAAUCCAGCUGGGAAAAGGGGAGACCAAGAAGUCACCCACUUCCACAUACAGGGCAGGGGAGAGGGAGGACUGACAUCCUGUCCAAAAGGGAGAAAUAGACAAAGAAGAGGCAGAUGAUCCCAAGUAAGUCCAAACCUCACAGGGAAAGCAUCACCUCUCGAAGCAGGAGAGUGGUCCCCAGGGUGGGGUGGGUCCCUAAGGCCUCAGGUCACCAUCCUCCCGCUCAGCCCACACUCCAGGUCUCUUAGGUUGAGUCUCAUGCCCGCAGCUCUCCCAGGCUGGGUCUGCAUGCUGGUGACUACAGUUCUAUGGUGUUGAGGUGGCCCUAUAUCCAUGGCCCCAUAGGUACUGCCUAGUAGGGGUUCCUUGUAGUGGCUCCACUUUGGGACUGCAGGUGGAGGGGGGUGCGUGCCAAAGAGCUUGCCUUCUAUACUUGCAGACUUGACACCGCGUGGAAGCCACCCAGGGCUUACGGCUUGUACCUUCUAGGACAUCGCUGUGAGACGUUUUAAAUGACCUAAAUAAAUGGAGACUAUCAAGUUGGUGGAUUGAAAAAUUCAAUAUUGUCAAAACGUCGGUUCUCCCCAAAUUGAUCUAUAGAUUCAAUGCAAUCUCAACAACCCAGCAAGAUUUCCACAAAUAUUAACAAAUGGACUCUUUAUUUUUUGAAAUUAUAUGGAAAUGAAAAAUAUGAGAAUAACCAAGAUAAUUUUUAAAAAAUUUUGGGAACUGCAUUACCUAAUUUUAAGCUUUAUUAUAAAGCAACAAGAAAUGGAUGGUAUUGCUGCAGAAUAGAUAUAAAGGCCAAUAGAACAGAGAAUCCAGAUGCAGGCCAGAGAUAUAUUGUCAAUUGACUUUCAACAAGGAUAAAAAGAUAAUUCAGUGUAGGAAAGAUAGUCUCUCAACAAAUGGUUGAAUAACUGGUUAUCCAUAAAAAUAAAAAAGGAGACAUAAUCCAGUCCUUGUUUGAUUCCACGCAUCCGGGAGGCCGCCUGCCCUGCAGCUCAGCUGGCUGCCUCUCCUUCUUGCUUUAUUUGUGCUGUUGGUUCACAGACCGGCAUUCGCUGUCUGUGGCCGUGAACAGGUCACUAAACAGGCCACUUCCCUUCAGACCCUUGUUAACAUGAG